Molecule: long non-coding RNA, 774 nt
Filed under: Trifolium pratense (red clover)
Lineage: Eukaryota; Viridiplantae; Streptophyta; Magnoliopsida; Fabales; Fabaceae
Description: long non-coding RNA (TPRA_LNC009069)
Source: RNAcentral
UUUGAUUCUGAAUUUAUAAUAAAUGAAUUUUCAGCUGUUUUAUACACACUCUAAUAAAUGUGUAUUAUAUUUAAAAUGAAAAAAUAUUUAUAUUUAAAAUGAAAAUAUAUUUAUGAUAAGGAAUGAUAUUAUGACAGCUUAACUGAUGUAAUGUCAUAAGAGUAUCUCCAAUGGUGAUACCGCUUUGGGAAUCAUACAUCACUAAAAAGUAGUCCCUACAAUGCCAUAUAGUAUUUAUGCAACUUAUACGUGUUUUGCUCCAAUGGUGAUACCACUCUAGCUAUUAUACAUCAUUAACAAGUUAUUAAUUCUAUUUAAUUCGAUAUACAAAAAAAAAAGGUAACAAUAAAUUGAUGAUACGGUACCUUAAAUAAGGUACCAGUAUCAUCAAUUUUGAUACCCUCUAGGCCACAUCAUGAAACUCCAAUGAUAAAAAAAGUUAAGGUACGGAUCAUUAGUCUAUGAUACUCUCUAAGAUAAUCUUAUUGGAGAUGCUCUAAGCUCAAACUAAUGAGAAAAGUAUAUUUUUUGCUUUGUUUUUACAUUAAAGUGAAAACCUUGAUUAGUUUAUAGGCAAUUGAGUGCUAUGAGCAGUAAUAUGUUUUCAACUUGUGUUUAGAAUGAUUAUCAAUUGCUUCCAAUUAUUAAAUCAUAUAGUAUCAUUUUCAUGUAUUGAAAUUGAAAUUGAAAUAUACAUAAUGGACUUAUUACAAAUUUAAUGACAUUUUCUAUGGCAGGGAUUAAUUAGCUCCACAAAAAGAGACAAUUUCAACA